ACACACAGUCACUAUCUUCGA
RNAcentral lists this non-coding RNA (21 nucleotides) under Mus musculus (house mouse). Its record names the gene mmu-miR-672-3p. Lineage: Eukaryota; Metazoa; Chordata; Mammalia; Rodentia; Muridae. The record is from miRBase by way of RNAcentral.